ACGGAGCUUAGAGAGCUUGCUUUUUAAGCUUAGUGGCGAACGGGUGAGUAACGCGUGAGUAACCUGCCCUAGAGUGGGGGACAACAGUUGGAAACGACUGCUAAUACCGCAUAAGCCCACGGUGCCGCAUGACACUGAGGGAAAAGGAUUUAUCCGCUUUAGGAUGGACUCGCGUCCAAUUAGCUAGUUGGUGAGGUAACGGCCCACCAAGGCGACGAUUGGUAGCCGGACUGAGAGGUUGAACGGCCACAUUGGGACUGAGACACGGCCCAGACUCCUACGGGAGGCAGCAGUGGGGGAUAUUGCACAAUGGGGGAAACCCUGAUGCAGCGACGCCGCGUGGAGGAAGAAGGUUUUCGGAUUGUAAACUCCUGUCGUUAGGGACGAUAAUGACGGUACCUAACAAGAAAGCACCGGCUAACUACGUGCCAGCAGCCGCGGUAAA
RNAcentral lists this ribosomal RNA (445 nucleotides) under uncultured bacterium. RNAcentral describes it as "bacterial SSU rRNA". It matches the Rfam family "Bacterial small subunit ribosomal RNA", at positions 66 to 524 of the family's 1533-position model. The record is from RNAcentral.